This 622-nucleotide ribosomal RNA is filed under the name uncultured bacterium. RNAcentral's name for it is "bacterial SSU rRNA". It matches the Rfam family "Bacterial small subunit ribosomal RNA", at positions 832 to 1454 of the family's 1533-position model. The record is from RNAcentral.
UCCGGGGCUUAGUGCCGGAGCUAACGCAAUAAGCACUCCGCCUGGGGAGUACGACCGCAAGGUUGAAACUCAAAGGAAUUGACGGGGGCCCGCACAAGCGGUGGAGCAUGUGGUUUAAUUCGAAGCAACGCGAAGAACCUUACCAGGUCUUGACAUCCCGAUGCUAUUCUUAGAGAUAGGAAGUUACUUCGGUACAUCGGAGACAGGUGGUGCAUGGUUGUCGUCAGCUCGUGUCGUGAGAUGUUGGGUUAAGUCCCGCAACGAGCGCAACCCUUAUUGUUAGUUGCCAUCAUUAAGUUGGGCACUCUAGCGAGACUGCCGGUAAUAAACCGGAGGAAGGUGGGGAUGACGUCAAAUCAUCAUGCCCCUUAUGACCUGGGCUACACACGUGCUACAAUGGUCGGUACAACGAGUUGCGAGCCGGUGACGGCAAGCUAAUCUCUGAAAGCCGAUCUCAGUUCGGAUUGGAGGCUGCAACUCGCCUCCAUGAAGUCGGAAUCGCUAGUAAUCGCGGAUCAGCACGCCGCGGUGAAUACGUUCCCGGGCCUUGUACACACCGCCCGUCACACCACGAGAGUUUGUAACACCCGAAGUCGGUGAGGUAACCUUUUAGGGGCCAGCC